This 602-nucleotide ribosomal RNA is filed under the name uncultured bacterium. RNAcentral's name for it is "bacterial SSU rRNA". The stretch from base 1 to 516 matches the Rfam family "Bacterial small subunit ribosomal RNA", at positions 338 to 873 of the family's 1533-position model. The record is from RNAcentral.
CCUACGGGAGGCAGCAGUGGGGAAUCUUGGACAAUGGGCGCAAGCCUGAUCCAGCCAUGCCGCGUGAGUGAAGAAGGCCUUCGGGUUGUAAAGCUCUUUUGUCAGGGACGAUAAUGACGGUACCUGAAGAAUAAGCCCCGGCAAACUUCGUGCCAGCAGCCGCGGUGAUACGAAGGGGGCUAGCGUUGUUCGGAUUUACUGGGCGUAAAGCGUACGUAGGCGGAUUGUUAAGUGAGAGGUGAAAUCCCAGGGCUCAACCCUGGAACUGCCUUUCAUACUGGCAAUCUCGAGUUCGGAAGAGGUGAGUGGAAUUCCUAGUGUAGAGGUGAAAUUCGUAGAUAUUAGGAAGAACACCGGUGGCGAAGGCGGCUCACUGGUCCGAUACUGACGCUGAGGUACGAAAGCGUGGGGAGCAAACAGGAUUAGAUACCCUGGUAGUCCACGCCGUAAACUAUGGGUGCUAGCCGUUGGAAAGCUUGCUUUUCAGUGGCGCAGCUACGACAUAAGACACCCGCCCGUCGGGAGGUACGGUCGCGAGAAUAAACUAACAAUAGAAUAGACGGCGNGAGACGNGCCGAACGGACGACGACGAGGGAGGUAGG